CCUGAAGCAUCCUGGAAUGCCAGAAAGUCAGGAAGGGCUUUUUAAAAAGAACCACAUGGGGGGGAUGGGGGUGCUCUGUCGUAAUCCCAGCAGCUCCAGAGGCUGAGGCAGGAGGAUCAGGAGUUCAAAGCCAGCCUCAGCAAUGGCGAGGCACUAAGCAACUAGAUGAGACCCUGUCUCUAAAUAAAAUACAAAAUAGGGCUGGGGAUGUGGCUCAGUGGUCAAGUGCCCCUCUAUACCCACGCCCCAAAAAACAGAGAGAGACAAAAAAGGACCACAUCAGGCUGGAGUUAUGGCUCAGUGGUAGAGCACUCACCUGGCAUGUGUGAAGCCUUGGGUUGAUCCUCAGCACCAAUAUAAAUAAAUAAAUAAAAUUAAAAAGAAAAAAGAUCCACUGACAACUAAAUAUAUACAUAUAUAUUAAAAGCACACACACACACACACACAUCAACAAGGGUACAUGAGGGGAGCAUAGGAGUCACCCGGCCACAAGCUAGAACAAUUCAGCAACAACAUAAAUAUUGGAUGUUAACCCAAAUGUAAAGCAGAUAUUCAGGAGUCUAUUAUAAAUAAGUGAUUGAAUAAACAAAUGGGGGAGAAGAGACAAAGCUUCCAGGUGGAAGAAUUUCUAAGGAUUUUUGCAGAUACUUUACCCAAACUGGGGGAUGGGAAAGAGGCGUAGGACUCCCAGCCCUGACACCACGCAGUCGCACCUGGUGACUUCCCUCCAGAAAGUGCAGGGUGGAGGGGAAAGUGACCCUGUGUGGAGACAAGUGGCAGAAGCUUACCUCAGCCAGGUGUUCAAGGUCAACGUCACUCCGGUUGGUAGUGUAGACCCUUGGUAAGGUGGAAAUGGUGACCUGGCUCCCCAAACCCAGAGCCCCAGCAAAAUCCUGAGAAAGCAUGAGGCAAAUUGCAUCACACGUAUAGCUAACCAGCACCACUCAAAACUGUCAGGGUCAUCAAAAGGAAAGUCAGAGAACCGUCACAGCCAAAGGGAGCCACCAGAGAAAACCAUGAAAUGGAAUGUGAUAUCCUGGAGGGCAUCCUGGAACAGAAAAGGGAGUUAGCUGGACCCAGAAAGUCUAAAAGGACUAGAUGUCCGUUAAUAAGAAUGGGUCCAUGUUGUUUGGGUCACCACAACAAAUGUACACCACUAAGGUCAGAGGGCAAUAAUAGGAAAACUGGGUGCAGGAGGAGGGGUUGGGGGGAAGUCAAGGUACAGUGUUCUUAACUUUCCUGCAAAACUAAAACUGCCCUAAAAAUACAUUUUACUUUAAAAAAAAUUACUGGUAUGCAGUGGUGCAUACCAGUAAUCCCAGCAACCUGGGAGGCUGGGGCAGGAGGAUUACAAAUUUGAGGACAGCCUUGGCAAGUUAGUGAGAACCCUGUCUCACAAUAAAAAUAAAAAAUUAAAAAAGGCUGACCAUGUAGUUCAGUGGCCAAGCACCCCUGAGUUCAAUCGUCAGCACCAAAACAUAAAUAAAUGACAUCUCCCUCAACCAACAAUAUCCCCUGUGCCCUGCUUUUUCUCGUUGUAUCACCACUUAACAUACUAUAUAUUGAAUUUGUGUAUUUUCUUACAUGUUAACUCCCUGGAAUAUAAGCUCCUGGGACCAAGGGAGCAGCUCCAUGGCAGAGGUUAGCUAGAACUCAAGCUUCCCGAAAGCUUUUUGUUUCUUGGACUGCUAUAUCUCCAGCACUUAGAAUAGUCUGACGAAUAGGUAGCAGGUGCUCCAAAAAUAUAUUUGUUGAAUGAUAAAUUUCCAAAGAUAGCCAUUGUUAGUUUUUCCAGUUUCGCCUCUGCUUAAAUACAUUUAUUAUUGUUUUAAAACAAACACACAUACGGUGUUCUGCUUAUCUGUUCUCUUCACCUAAUAGCUCCUAUUUUCCCUUGUUAUUCUUUUACAACAUCAUUUUCUAGACCAUGCUGGUGUUCGCAGGCCCAGCAACUGGUUGUGAUUACAGAGGCAAAGAUGGUGGGGGCUCUCUGCUGG
Molecule: long non-coding RNA, 1997 nt
Filed under: Marmota monax (woodchuck)
Lineage: Eukaryota; Metazoa; Chordata; Mammalia; Rodentia; Sciuridae
Source: RNAcentral